This 78-nucleotide small RNA is filed under the name Flavobacterium sp. 81. RNAcentral describes it as "Flavo-1 RNA". It matches the Rfam family "Flavo-1 RNA". The record is from RNAcentral. Lineage: Bacteria; Pseudomonadati; Bacteroidota; Flavobacteriia; Flavobacteriales; Flavobacteriaceae. RNAcentral also lists the same sequence under 1 other name.
UUUUAGCCCUGAUGGAAGCGACAACCUUUUUCUCGCUCCUUUAGCGAGGAAAAGAUAUAGCGGACAGCAGGAUUAGCU